RNAcentral lists this ribosomal RNA (247 nucleotides) under uncultured bacterium. RNAcentral describes it as "partial 16S ribosomal RNA". It matches the Rfam family "Bacterial small subunit ribosomal RNA", at positions 526 to 779 of the family's 1533-position model. The record is from RNAcentral.
CGUAGGUGGCGAGCGUUGUCCGGAUUACUGGGUGUAAGGGAGCGCAGGCGGGAGCAAGUCAGCUGUGAAUAUACGGGCUUAACUCGUAAUUGCAGUUGAAACUGUUCUUCUUGAGUGAAGUAGAGGUAGGCGGAAUUCCGAGUGUAGCGGUGAAAUGCGUAGAGAUUCGGAGGAACACCAGUGGCGAAGGCGGCCUACUGGGCUUUAACUGACGCUGAGGCUCGAAAGUGUGGGAGCAAACAGGAUU